RNAcentral lists this long non-coding RNA (646 nucleotides) under Hordeum vulgare. Its description in RNAcentral is "long non-coding RNA (HVUL_LNC020211)". The record is from RNAcentral. Lineage: Eukaryota; Viridiplantae; Streptophyta; Magnoliopsida; Poales; Poaceae.
CAAGUAAUUGUGAGGCUCAAUUACAAAUUAAAGAUCCAAUUUAUUAUAAACAGAUUUGUGAGUACUUCAAAUUCACUAAACAUAAUUUUUUUUAUAUAAGCAUUAUGAGAUUUCACUAUGCAAUCAAGAACAUAUCUGAUAGAUGAUGGCAAUACAACUGACAACUCUCUAUUGCCUGCGUUGCAGGGUUUUCAAGCGAAAGAUCGCAAACCUACACGAAAACCAGGCCAUAUAUACUAAAACAUUCUCGAAGUUGCGACCAGAGUAGGUGACACCCAAGGGAGGAUGCUCGUGAGGGUCAAUAGUCCUUCCAACAGGAGAAGCAAUCGCUGUACACCUAUUAGUCACACUUCACAGUUCAUCCACGUAUGUCUCCUGCAUUGCAGCCCAAGGUCAUUGACUUUCGGUACGAACCUCUUUGAUAGCAUCUGACAAUAUUAUUGUUAAUCACGAAUUGAGUUUCCUUCUACCUCACAUUCCCCAAUGCUUGCACAACUAACAACGUAGAGCACUUUCAUGAAUGCCUUCUCCAUGCUUGCAGAACUAACAACGUAGAGCACUUUCAAUAGUCUCAUGAACUCAAUAGCAUCACCAGUGCCGAUUAUUUAUCAAUUGAGGGGUAAGGGCGAGGGUGUAUAAGUGCAAC